ACCUAUAAGCGUUUGAGAAAUGGAGUGACACAGAAGGAUAGGUUAAGCGUACCGUUGGUUGAGUACGUCCAAGCCAGUAGGGAGUUUUCAUAGGCAAAUCCGUGGAAACAAUCCUGAGAGGUGAUGGGGAGUGAAAAUAAGUAGCGAAGUAACUGACUCCAUGCUGUCGAGAAAAGCUUCUAUCGAGCAAGUAGGUACCCGUACCGCAAACCGACACAGGUAGGCGAGGAGAGAAUCCUAAGACGAGCGGAAGAACUCUUGUUAAGGAACUCGGCAAAAUAACCCCGUAACUUAGGGAGAAGGGGUGCCGGAGCAUGUGAAAGAUGCACAUCUGGAGCAUGAACCGGCCGCAGUGAAUAGGCCCAAGCGACUGUUUAUCAAAAACACAGGUCUCUGCUAAAUCGAAAGAUGAAGUAUAGGGGCUGACGCCUGCCCGGUGCUGGAAGGUUAAGGGGAAGUGUUAGACAUUAGUCGAAGCAUAGAACUUAAGCCCCAGUAAACGGCGGCCGUAACUAUAACGGUCCUAAGGUAGCGAAAUUCCUUGUCGGGUAAGUUCCGACCCGCACGAAAGGCGUAACGAUUUGGGCACUGUCUCAACAAGAGAUCCGGUGAAAUUGUAGUACCAGUGAAGAUGCUGGUUACCCGCGACAGGACGGAAAGACCCCGUGGAGCUUUACUGCAGGCUGACAUUGGAUUUUGGUAUUAUAUGUACAGGAUAGGUGGGAGACUUAGAAACCAGGGCGCCAGCUUUGGUGGAGUCAUCGUUGGGAUACCACCCUUAUAA
This 784-nucleotide non-coding RNA is filed under the name Gottschalkia purinilytica. RNAcentral's name for it is "Clostridium purinilyticum Bacterial large subunit ribosomal RNA". It matches the Rfam family "Bacterial large subunit ribosomal RNA", at positions 1446 to 2211 of the family's 2925-position model. Lineage: Bacteria; Bacillati; Bacillota; Tissierellia; Tissierellales; Gottschalkiaceae. The record is from Rfam by way of RNAcentral.